GUCCACGCCCUAAACGAUGAUCACUGGGUGUUGGGGAAGCGAUUCCUUGGUACCGUAGCUAACGCGUGAAGUGAUCCGCCUGGGGAGUACGGUCGCAAGAUUAAAACUCAAAGGAAUUGACGGGGACCCGCACAAGCGGUGGAUGAUGUGGAUUAAUUCGAUGCAACGCGAACAAACCUUACCUAACCCUUGACAUGUCCGGAACCCUGCUGAGAGGUGGGGGUGCCCGAAAAGGGAAUCGGAACACAGGUGCUUCAUGGCUGUCGU
RNAcentral lists this ribosomal RNA (267 nucleotides) under uncultured bacterium. Its description in RNAcentral is "partial 16S ribosomal RNA". It matches the Rfam family "Bacterial small subunit ribosomal RNA", at positions 793 to 1055 of the family's 1533-position model. The record is from RNAcentral.